Molecule: ribosomal RNA, 1449 nt
Filed under: uncultured organism
Description: SSU rRNA
Rfam family: Bacterial small subunit ribosomal RNA
Source: RNAcentral
GCUCAGGAUGAACGCUAGCUACAGGCUUAACACAUGCAAGUCGAGGGGCAGCAUUUUAGUUUGCUUGCAAACUAAAGAUGGCGACCGGCGCACGGGUGAGUAACACGUAUCCAACCUGCCGAUAACUCGGGGAUAGCCUUUCGAAAGAAAGAUUAAUAUCCGAUAGUAUAUUAAAACCGCAUGGUUUUACUAUUAAAGAAUUUCGGUUAUCGAUGGGGAUGCGUUCCAUUAGUUUGUUGGCGGGGUAACGGCCCACCAAGACUACGAUGGAUAGGGGUUCUGAGAGGAAGGUCCCCCACAUUGGAACUGAGACACGGUCCAAACUCCUACGGGAGGCAGCAGUGAGGAAUAUUGGUCAAUGGACGAGAGUCUGAACCAGCCAAGUAGCGUGAAGGAUGACUGCCCUAUGGGUUGUAAACUUCUUUUAUAUGGGAAUAAAGUAUUCCACGUGUGGGAUUUUGUAUGUACCAUAUGAAUAAGGAUCGGCUAACUCCGUGCCAGCAGCCGCGGUAAUACGGAGGAUCCGAGCGUUAUCCGGAUUUAUUGGGUUUAAAGGGAGCGUAGGUGGAUUGUUAAGUCAGUUGUGAAAGUUUGCGGCUCAACCGUAAAAUUGCAGUUGAAACUGGCAGUCUUGAGUACAGUAGAGGUGGGCGGAAUUCGUGGUGUAGCGGUGAAAUGCUUAGAUAUCACGAAGAACUCCGAUUGCGAAGGCAGCUCACUAGACUGCAACUGACACUGAUGCUCGAAGGUGUGGGUAUCAGACAGGAUUAGAUACCCUGGUAGUCCACACAGUAAACGAUGAAUACUCGCUGUUUGCGAUAUACAGUAAGCGGCCAAGCGAAAGCAUUAAGUAUUCCACCUGGGGAGUACGCCGGCAACGGUGAAACUCAAAGGAAUUGACGGGGGCCCGCACAAGCGGAGGAACAUGUGGUUUAAUUCGAUGAUACGCGAGGAACCUUACCCGGGCUUAAAUUGCAUUUGAAUAAUCUGGAAACAGGUUAGCCGCAAGGCAAAUGUGAAGGUGCUGCAUGGUUGUCGUCAGCUCGUGCCGUGAGGUGUCGGCUUAAGUGCCAUAACGAGCGCAACCCUUAUCUUUAGUUACUAACAGGUCAUGCUGAGGACUCUAGAGAGACUGCCGUCGUAAGAUGUGAGGAAGGUGGGGAUGACGUCAAAUCAGCACGGCCCUUACGUCCGGGGCUACACACGUGUUACAAUGGGGGGUACAGAAGGCAGCUACCUGGCGACAGGAUGCUAAUCCCAAAAACCUCUCUCAGUUCGGAUCGAAGUCUGCAACCCGACUUCGUGAAGCUGGAUUCGCUAGUAAUCGCGCAUCAGCCAUGGCGCGGUGAAUACGUUCCCGGGCCUUGUACACACCGCCCGUCAAGCCAUGAAAGCCGGGGGUACCUGAAGUACGUAACCGCAAGGAGCGUCCUAGGGUAAAACUGGUAA